AAAUUGAAGAGUUUGAUCAUGGCUCAGAUUGAACGCUGGCGGCAGGCCUAACACAUGCAAGUCGAGCGGAAACGAGUUAUCAGAACCUUCGGGGGACGAUAGCGGCGUCGAGCGGCGGACGGGUGAGUAAUGCCUAGGAAAUUGCCCUGAUGUGGGGGAUAACCAUUGGAAACGAUGGCUAAUACCGCAUGAUGCCUACGGGCCAAAGAGGGGGACCUUCGGGCCUCUCGCGUCAGGAUAUGCCUAGGUGGGAUUAGCUAGUUGGUGAGGUAAGGGCUCACCAAGGCGACGAUCCCUAGCUGGUCUGAGAGGAUGAUCAGCCACACUGGAACUGAGACACGGUCCAGACUCCUACGGGAGGCAGCAGUGGGGAAUAUUGCACAAUGGGCGCAAGCCUGAUGCAGCCAUGCCGCGUGUGUGAAGAAGGCCUUCGGGUUGUAAAGCACUUUCAGUCGUGAGGAAGGCGGUGUAGUUAAUAGCUGCAUCGUUUGACGUUAGCGACAGAAGAAGCACCGGCUAACUCCGUGCCAGCAGCCGCGGUAAUACGGAGGGUGCGAGCGUUAAUCGGAAUUACUGGGCGUAAAGCGCAUGCAGGUGGUUUGUUAAGUCAGAUGUGAAAGCCCGGGGCUCAACCUCGGAAUUGCAUUUGAAACUGGCAGACUAGAGUACUGUAGAGGGGGGGGGGUAGAAUUUCAGGUGUAGCGGUGAAAUGCGUAGAGAUCUGAAGGAAUACCGGUGGCGAAGGCGGCCCCCUGGACAGAUACUGACACUCAGAUGCGAAAGCGUGGGGGAGCAAACAGGAUUAGAUACCCUGGUAGUCCACGCCGUAAACGAUGUCUACUUGGAGGUUGUGGCCUUGAGCCGUGGCUUUCGGAGCUAACGCGUUAAGUAGACCGCCUGGGGAGUACGGUCGCAAGAUUAAAACUCAAAUGAAUUGACGGGGGGCCCGCACAAGCGGUGGAGCAUGUGGUUUAAUUCGAUGCAACGCGAAGAACCUUACCUACUCUUGACAUCCAGAGAACUUUCCAGAGAUGGAUUGGUGCCUUCGGGAACUCUGAGACAGGUGCUGCAUGGCUGUCGUCAGCUCGUGUUGUGAAAUGUUGGGUUAAGUCCCGCAACGAGCGCAACCCUUAUCCUUGUUUGCCAGCGAGUAAUGUCGGGAACUCCAGGGAGACUGCCGGUGAUAAACCGGAGGAAGGUGGGGACGACGUCAAGUCAUCAUGGCCCUUACGAGUAGGGCUACACACGUGCUACAAUGGCGCAUACAGAGGGCGGCCAACUUGCGAAAGUGAGCGAAUCCCAAAAAGUGCGUCGUAGUCCGGAUUGGAGUCUGCAACUCGACUCCAUGAAGUCGGAAUCGCUAGUAAUCGUGGAUCAGAAUGCCACGGUGAAUACGUUCCCGGGCCUUGUACACACCGCCCGUCACACCAUGGGAGUGGGCUGCAAAAGAAGUAGGUAGUUUAACCUUCGGGGGGACGCUUACCACUUUGUGGUUCAUGACUGGGGUGAAGUCGUAACAAGGUAGCGCUAGGGGAACCUGGCGCUGGAUCACCUCCUUA
RNAcentral lists this ribosomal RNA (1559 nucleotides) under Vibrio parahaemolyticus. RNAcentral describes it as "bacterial SSU rRNA". It matches the Rfam family "Bacterial small subunit ribosomal RNA". Lineage: Bacteria; Pseudomonadati; Pseudomonadota; Gammaproteobacteria; Vibrionales; Vibrionaceae. The record is from RNAcentral.